CGCGUCCCGCCCGCGCCGCCCUUGCGGGCCAGCGCAUAGUGGAGACCACCGCCUCCGUGAAGCAGCGCGAACGGGGUGCCCAGCAGCGCGUCCGCGCCGCCGAAGCUCAUCAUGGCCGGAGCAGGGAAGUGAUGGGAUGCAUUCUGGGCACCAAAGUUCCUUAUCUCCUCAUCCCCAAAGACUUCCCUAUAGGAGAUCAGUCUACAGAACGCUGAUGCAUUUUCUGGAUGUAAGAAGGCUCACAAGCAAGGAGGAAUGAUAGAGGAUUCAGGUGAAAGGAGAGCCCAAGAUGGAUCUAUUAAAGCCAAGAGGCCACAACCAUCAGAAUGCAGCUGCCUAUGGAUUCCAAGAAGCCCCAAGUAGGACUCUUGUGGCUGGAAAAAUGGUAUGAGGGCUGGAGCCCCAAGGUCAGUCCCCCAAAGAGCCCUUCAGGCUCACCUACAGGAAGCCAUCCCUGGCUUCCUACACUCCCAAUUUAGUAAAUCAUCCCCUCCUGGGUGUCCCAUCAUGUUCAUACCUAGCAUUGCACUUAGCACUCUGUGUGAAUGAACCAAUAGAUGACUAAAUUCCAUCAGUUCUGCAGCCAACGUGGGGUCUAGAGGUCAUUAAGAAUGAUUCUGUCCUGAGUCCUUGGGGUUCAAAUAACUUUCACCUUCUUCCUUAUGAUUCUUAACAUUUGGAAAAGAGUAGAAUCGCUUCUCAGCCUUUUGGCUAAGAUCAAGUGUGGAAGAGAGUAGAACAACAUCUUCAUUCUUCUGUCCAUCAUAUGAUUAUGAGUAUCUUGUUAUGUCACAGGCACACGCUAAAUGCUGAGGGUACAGAACCCCAUAAACCUCCAAAAUUGUCUCCCUGGACAAGGAUUCUCAAGUCCUUCUCAAAUCUGAGCUCAGCAUUUCCCAAGGGUGAUGGGCUUGGGAAAGGUAUUGAUAAUGUUAGGUGUUCUCCAAAAAGGAGAGGAAGAGAGGGAGUUUCAUGGCUAAAGGAGUUAAAGAGUGUUCUUGAAGCAUAUUUUCCUGGAGCCUAAAGUUGGUGAUGAACAUUGGGAAUCUCCCAGAAGGAAGUAUAGUGUACUAAGUUGUCCAAAAUUCCUUGCCCUCAGGUCCUUCUUGUCCCCAAGUAUCUCCAGAGCAAGGCUCCAGUGGUUCACAUGGAAGGACCCAGUUGGAAUUGGGCUUCAGCCUCUGCUGUCCUUAGACCUCAGUCUGUGAACAUCCACAAAGCAUUACUUACUCUAUUCAUGUAGCAUCUAUGGGAUUAGACUCUGUGGUAAGUACUGGGGAUUCAGGACAAUGAGACCCUAGUGAAAAAGAGAGAGAACACCCCUCCCCAUGUAUGCAGCCAAGAGAAUUCAGCCACCACUUUCUCCUUGAUAACUCCUCAAACCUUAGUCACUAGACAAGGAUUGCUGACCCUAUUUCAUAGUCAAGUAAACUGAGAGUAAAAAAGGAGUGAGGAAGUGGGAUACCUAUGUUGACUCAGUGCCAGGGCAGAGCCCAGUGUCUCAAAUCAUCAAGGCCUGCACUGGCACUGGACACACAGAGUGGAGACCUCUUUCUCUUUUUUUUUAAGACAGAGUCUCACUUUGUUGCCCUCGGUAGAGUGCUGUAGCAUCACAGCUCACAGCAAUCUCAGACUCUUGGGCUUAAGCGAUUCUCUUGCCUCAGCCUCCCAAGUAGCUGGGAAAACAUGCACCUGCCACAAUGUCCGGCUGUUUUUGGAGAUGAAAUCUUGCUCUGGCUCAGGCUGGUCUCAAACCUGUAAGCUCAGGCAAUCCAGCCACCUCGGUCUCCCACAGUGCUAGGAUUACAGGCGUGAGCCACUGCAUCAGGCCCAAGACCUAUCUCUUUUGUGCAGAGAGGCCCGCAUGGUCUGAUGGUAGGGAAAUAAGAGGUCCCCACAGAGGGAAUCGCAGCUUUCUGGGGCUGGGGUUGAUUAGGGUCUGGCCUCUGACAGGUCACCCAGCUGAGAGUCCCUAUGACCCAUGUUCCAACAUCAGCACAUCCUUUCUGUAAGAGGCCACUUACUGGCCUGGAUACCCUGCACCUCUAUGGAAACAUCAUGUGACUAUCUGGGGUACUUCACUAAACUCCUUGUUCUCUUUUCCUGCUUGCUGCUUUUCCAUUGCACUUGGCUUUUUCUGACAUGCUACUAUGGGUCUUAGUUACCUUGUCUCCUCCCACCAAAAUGGAAGCUUCGUAAGGUCAGGGAUUUUUGUCUGUUUGCUGAUUUUCCCAGUGUUUGGUGUAUUGGCACAGUAGGUGCUUAACACAUAAUUGUAGAAUGACUGUGAGGCUCUGUCUGAGAGGCCGUUGACCACCUGGACAUUUCAGCGCGAGGCACAUCCAGACAGUCCCUAGCCUGCUCUGCUCUCAGAAGGGGGCCACCUACAGCAUGACCGAGGACAAAGGCUUGAAAGGGGCCCCUGCUCUUAGGCCUGAAGCCUCCCAGCCUGAGCUGUCACAUUUGCUAAAGCUCAGACCUUGCCUACUCCAUGACCUGCAAACUCACGCCUCUCCUAGUAUUACUUUUUCCUUUUUGAAUUCAGCGAUUCUUCUUAUGUAUCUGUGAAGAGCUAAGCAUUUCUUUCUUCUUGCCUCUUCCCCCUGAGUGUUCAUCAUGUCCCACAUUUUCUGUCUUUCCUCUUGGCCCCUCCUUUCUCCACUUUCUGUUUCCUUUUUCCUCCAACUUUCUGUCCUCCUUAUCCCUUUUCCUCUUCCACUCUCCCUCUUCUCCCUCCUUAGAGGUGUCUUCUUUUUGCCAGGCUUGAAUCUGAUUUCUAGUAAAGGGGAGGCAGCCUCCGCACUCUUACUCCCUUUAGGAAGCAAAUAGUGAAAUUGAACUAGUUUGGUUUUGCAUAAGCCUCUUCUGCCUAAGUUCCAGCCCCAGUCUUAACCACAGAGGAAGCCCUGCAGCAGGCCUACUAGCCAAGCCAUCUGCCACCCUGGUACUGCACUGAAUGAGAGCCUGAAUUCAGCCCCAAAGGCCCGAAGCUGGUGCAUGGAUUCACUGUCUCUCCUGUUCUGGUUCCUGUUGUGAGUGAUUAUGAAUGAAUGAUUCUUUGCUGGUGGUUCCUGAGACUGAGAAUGAGACUGUUCUUUGAUCUUUGCUGAUGGCAACUGAGUGGGACUUGCUAAGUUGUAAGUGCUUUGGGGCUGUCACUGCUGUUGUUACCUAGAGUAAGAGGCUAAGUGUUGGUAGGAAUGAAGGCUGUCAUCUGAGGAAGGGAGAAGAUGCUUUUAUGUCUGGCCCUUCUUAUCUCUGCAGCCCUGUGAAGUAGAUACCAUUAUUUAUCCCCACUUCGUGGUUUGGGAAAUGAAGGCUCAGAAAUGUUAGAUAACCGACCUCAGAUUACACAGUUAAUAAAUGGUGGAUCUGGGAUUUGAACCAAGGUCUGAUAGACUGUACAGCAGGUAUACAGAACUUUGUCAUCAAGUCACACAUUCAGAGGAUGGCCCAACUGGACCCAGCACUUUCCUGGUUCUGUCAUGGCUGACCAGGGGCUUUGCUCUAGGGGUUCUUUUUGGCACCUUAGUGGGAGCAAAAGGGAUUGAGAAUUGGCUUUGGCUUUGGUUUGUUUAUUUUCCCCCAGGUUCUUACAUUCUCUUGGGUUGUUUUGGGAGGAGGAGACUUCCUAAGCAGUAUAGUCAGGAAGUUAAAAUUAUGGCCAGCUCAGCUUUCUGGAUGACUACAGCUAAGGAGACAGAUGAAAUACAAAGCAGUCUUGGAACAAUGAUUGAUAUUCCUGGUAUAAAUCUUGAAUAAUAAAGAAAGUGGUUUUAGCAUCCUCCAUGUGGUGAGCACCUGCCUGCUGUGUUCUAGCUACCUAUGUACCUGGUGUCUGCGACACUUCUGCCAGGUGUGCAGGGUCAUCAUCCUCCACAGAGUAGGACACAGAGGUCAGAGAAAGAAAGUGACCAGAUGAGCUCACAGGGUAAGAUGGUGGAGGGGCUGUGUUUCCCAAUGUCCAUAAAAAAAAAGAAAAAAAAAAGGUUUCAGUGAUGGUUCAUUUCUUUGUUCUGGAGGAGAAAGAGAUCCAUGGUACAUUUUUGAAAGAUUCUAUGCCAGCGUGUUUAAAUUGAGAUGUUGGGACCUGAGAAUUAAGAGCUGGAUAAGAGAGUUCAUUCCUGAUGAUCAGUGUCGACUGGUAAAUAAGGUAUUACUGGGCCUUAACAGAAGUCCCUGCAAGUGGGCACUGCCUCAAGCUUGGUGAACGAGAAGCUUGCCCUGCUCCAGAGGCAGCCACACCCUGGCCUGUCCGUCUGUAGCCAAGCUGUGUGGGGACCUACAGGACAUGGUGGGGAGGGGUUGCCUGAUGUUACUGCGAGGUAGCAGAUACCAACCUGGGAGAGAUGUGCCAAGAGAGUUUCUGAAACCUCUGCCUCAGCCCCAAGCUAGACACCUGAUAUGGACGGAAGACUGCAGGAGCCAGGAGCGGACCUGGACCAUAUACCAGUGAAGGUGCCACUGAACUGCCUGUUGGCAUCUGGGGAGGUUAAUGGUAAAGGAAGGAAGAGGAAAAGUGGAUCUUGAGGUCUUUGCUAUCUUUGUCACCAUUUUUUGUUGUUGUUGUUGUUUAGCAGGCUGGGUUCGAACCUGCCAGCCCCGAUGUAUGUGGCUGGCACUCUAACCACUGAGCUAUGGGCACUGAGCCUCUUUGGUGUCUUUGGAGGCAGAUGAUAGAGAGGCGUCACAGCUCACAGCAACCUCAAACUCUUGGGCUCAGUGAUUCUCUUGCCUCAGCCUCCCAUGUAGCUGGGACUACAGGUGCCUGCAACAACACCCAGCUGUUUUUUUUUUUGUAGUUGUCAUUGUUGUUUGGAAGGUCCAGGCUGGGUUUGAACGUGCCAGCCCUGGUGCAUGUGGCUGGCACCCUAGCCGCUGAGCUACAGGCGCUGAGCUGAGAUAAUGAACUUUUUAAUAAAAAAAAAAAAUGUCUUUUUCUAUAGAGAUGGAGUCUCCCUAUGUUGCUCAAGCUGGUCUGGAACUUCUGGCUUCAAGUGGUGCUAAUGCCUUGGCCUCCCAAAGUGCUGGGAUUACAGCUCCACAACAACCCACUCUAAGAAGCUUUGGUGAGCAAACUGAGGCCUGAAGAGGCUAAGCCACUUGUCCAAGCACAGAACCAGGAUUCACAACUGCAGUCUGGCUCUAGAAUGCCACCCUGUCCCACCUCAGGACUGGCCCUCUCCCGGGAAUGCCUUCCUCCCUCAUCCUCCAGGUCCUUUGCUCCAUGAUGCUGAGUUCCCUGACCGUUAUGUAAGUGCUCGUCCUGGAAUCUAGGUGCUGACAUGUGCUGGAGUCCCUGGUGCCCAUGCCUCCUGACACGUCCUAGACCAUGAGAGAUGGGGACGGGCUGCACCCAGAGAUCAUGAUGUGUGCAAUGGGUAAACAAAUGCUGAGGACAUAAACACUUGAGGACUGCACACAAGAAUGUUCCCUGAUGGCAGGAUGGGGCUGGUGUGCCCUCCACACCCUGAAUCUCUUCUACCUUGUAGGCCCACCAAGAAGUUCUUGAUUCUGCCAUAUUCUUUUUUUUUUUUUUUUUUUUUGAGAUAGAGUCUCACUUUGUCACCCUGGGUAGAGUGCCGUGAUGUCAUAGCUCAUAGCAACCUCAAACUCUUGGGUUCAAGUGGUCCUCUUGCCUUAGCCUUCCAAGUAGCUGGGACUACAGGCACCCACCACAGUGCCUGGCUAUUUUUUCUUUCUUUUUUUUUUUUUUUUUGAGAUGGGGGUCUCACUCUUGCUCAGGCUGGCCUCAAACUUGUGAGCUCAAGCAGUCUACCUCUCUCAGCCUCCCAGAGUGCUAGGAUUACAGGCGUGAGCCACUAUGUCCAGCUACUGCCAUAUUUUUACACCCUGAACUUCCUGUCUGAAGUCCUUUCUCCAUUUCAGUAUUUAUUGUGUCCACCCUUUGGGUAACUGCUCCUAAUCCUUCAGGUAUUCCAUGUCCUUCAGGGAUCUUUUUCCAACCCCAGAGUGGUGAUAACGGCUUCCUCUGGGCCCCCAGUAGCUCCUGCCUUUCCCUCUUUCUAAUCCUAACACUUCUAAAGGGCUACUUAUUUGUGUCCUCAUUGGACUGUGAGCUCCCUAAGGGCAAGAGCCAUCUCUUUUUUUUUUUAUUAAAUCAUAGCUGUGUACAUUGAUAUGAUCAUGGGGCCAGAGCUAUCUCUUAUGCAGUAUUGUAUCCUGGGCUUGGUACCAGAGUAUUGGUAAAGUUUGUUGAAUGAAUAAAUGUCUAAAUUUCAAUGGCGUAUUCCACGUUAUUCAUCUUUUUUUUUUUUUGUCUUUAGAGACAGAGUCUCACUCUGUGCCCUGGGUAGAGUGCCAUGGCAUCAUAGCUCACAGCAGCCUCAAACUCUUGGGCUUAAGCAAUCCUCUUGCCUCAGCCUCCAGAGUAGCUAAAACUACAGGUACUUGCCACAACAACAUACUAAUU
Long non-coding RNA from Nycticebus coucang (slow loris), 6433 nucleotides. RefSeq lists it as uncharacterized. The record is from RefSeq and is a predicted model, not a curated record. NCBI's taxonomy places the organism in Eukaryota, Metazoa, Chordata, Mammalia, Primates, Lorisidae. The transcript is spliced from 4 exons.